UACGUAGGGGGCAAGCGUUGUCCGGAUUUAUUGGGCGUAAAGAGCGUGUAGGCGGCCAUUCAGGUCAGCUGUGAAAACUCGAGGCUCAACCUCGAGACGUCGGUUGAAACCGUUUGGCUAGAGUCCGGAAGAGGAGAGUGGAAUUCCCGGUGUAGCGGUGAAAUGCGCAGAUAUCGGGAAGAACACCCGUGGCGAAGGCGGCUCUCUGGGACGGUACUGACGCUGAGGAGCGAAAGCGUGGGUAGCAAACAGG
RNAcentral lists this ribosomal RNA (253 nucleotides) under uncultured bacterium. Its description in RNAcentral is "partial 16S ribosomal RNA". It matches the Rfam family "Bacterial small subunit ribosomal RNA", at positions 524 to 776 of the family's 1533-position model. The record is from RNAcentral.